This 540-nucleotide ribosomal RNA is filed under the name uncultured bacterium. RNAcentral describes it as "bacterial SSU rRNA". It matches the Rfam family "Bacterial small subunit ribosomal RNA", at positions 356 to 896 of the family's 1533-position model. The record is from RNAcentral.
GAGGAAUAUUGGUCAAUGGACGUAAGUCUGAACCAGCCAAGUAGCGUGCAGGAUUGACGGCCCUAUGGGUUGUAAACUGCUUUUGUUGGGGAGUAAAGUGGGGCACGCGUGCCUUUUUGCAUUUACCCUUCGAAUAAGGACCGGCUAAUUCCGUGCCAGCAGCCGCGGUAAUACGGAAGGUCCAGGCGUUAUCCGGAUUUAUUGGGUUUAAAGGGAGUGUAGGCGGUUUGUUAAGCGUGUUGUGAAAUUUAGAUGCUCAACAUUUAACUUGCAGCGCGAACUGGCGAACUUGAGUGCACACAACGUAUGCGGAAUUCAUGGUGUAGCGGUGAAAUGCUUAGAUAUCAUGAAGAACUCCGAUUGCGAAGGCAGCAUACGGGAGUGUAACUGACGCUUAAGCUCGAAGGUGCGGGUAUCGAACAGGAUUAGAUACCCUGGUAGUCCGCACAGUAAACGAUGGAUGCCCGCUGUUAGCGCCUGGCGUUAGCGGCUAAGCGAAAGCAUUAAGCAUCCCACCUGGGGAGUACGCCGGCAACGGUG